Nothoprocta perdicaria is the source of this 96-nucleotide long non-coding RNA. RefSeq lists it as uncharacterized. The record is from RefSeq and is a predicted model, not a curated record. The transcript has 3 exons. Lineage: Eukaryota; Metazoa; Chordata; Aves; Tinamiformes; Tinamidae.
AUAAGAACUGUAUGGCUAAGGACUGAAUUUUCUGGAGAGUUCAGCUGAAGUAUUAAAUCAGGGUGCACCUGUUUUGGACAAACUACCCACUAAACU